Molecule: ribosomal RNA, 503 nt
Filed under: uncultured bacterium
Lineage: Bacteria
Description: bacterial SSU rRNA
Rfam family: Bacterial small subunit ribosomal RNA
Source: RNAcentral
GUAGGCGGUUUGUCGCGUCUGCUGUGAAAGGCCGGGGCUUAACCCCGUGUAUUGCAGUGGGUACGGGCAGACUAGAGUGCAGUAGGGGAGACUGGAACUCCUGGUGUAGCGGUGGAAUGCGCAGAUAUCAGGAAGAACACCGAUGGCGAAGGCAGGUCUCUGGGCUGUAACUGACGCUGAGGAGCGAAAGCGUGGGGAGCGAACAGGAUUAGAUACCCUGGUAGUCCACGCUGUAAACGUUGGGCACUAGGUGUGGGGGCCACCCGUGGUUUCUGCGCCGUAGCUAACGCUUUAAGUGCCCCGCCUGGGGAGUACGGCCGCAAGGCUAAAACUCAAAGGAAUUGACGGGGGCCCGCACAAGCGGCGGAGCAUGCGGAUUAAUUCGAAGCAACGCGAAGAACCUUACCAGGUCUUGACAUCCCUCUGACCGCUCUAGAGAUAGAGUUUUCCUUCGGGACAGAGGUGACAGGUGGUGCAUGGUUGUCGUCAGCUCGUGUCGUGAG